AGUGGAUUCUAGUAUCUACUAAGGAAUUAGGGUAAUUUCUCGAAUUGAAGGUAGAGGCUACCAAUUCGAAUAAAAUAGUGGGAGAAAUUUUUUAAUUAAAGUCUAAAUUUUUAGGUUUAAUGAAUCAAUUACUAAUUAGGUUAUGAUUUUUUUUUGUACAAAUAUGGUCACUUUCCUAUCGUUUCGAUUAUUGUUGGACAAUGAUAAGUUGGUGGGACCCAACUUCGGUAGCUGGUACCGAAAGUUGAAGAUAGUUCUGGAGUAUGAACG
Molecule: long non-coding RNA, 270 nt
Filed under: Elaeis guineensis (African oil palm)
Lineage: Eukaryota; Viridiplantae; Streptophyta; Magnoliopsida; Arecales; Arecaceae
Description: long non-coding RNA (EGUI_LNC073089)
Source: RNAcentral